GCCUGGGUGGCUCAGUUGUUUGAGCAUCUGACUGUGGCUCAGGUCAUGAUCUUACGGUUUGUGGGUUUGAGCCCUGCCUUGGGCU
RNAcentral lists this transfer RNA (85 nucleotides) under Felis catus (domestic cat). It matches the Rfam family "tRNA". Rfam says of the family: Transfer RNA (tRNA) molecules are approximately 80 nucleotides in length. Their secondary structure includes four short double-helical elements and three loops (D, anti-codon, and T loops). RNAcentral also lists the same sequence under 3 other names. Lineage: Eukaryota; Metazoa; Chordata; Mammalia; Carnivora; Felidae. The record is from Rfam by way of RNAcentral.